This 87-nucleotide transfer RNA is filed under the name Kwoniella bestiolae CBS 10118. Its description in RNAcentral is "tRNA-His". The record is from RNAcentral. Lineage: Eukaryota; Fungi; Basidiomycota; Tremellomycetes; Tremellales; Cryptococcaceae.
GUCUCCAUAGUAUAGGUGGUCAGUACGUCACGUUGUGGUUAACACAGCAGAACUGUGAAGACAGCUGUUCGAGUCAGCUUGGGGACA